CUAUUAAAAUAUUCAUGCAUUCGAUUAAAUUUUAAUCAUUUCGAUUAAAUUUUCAGCACCUCGAGCCAUGGAGAAACGCAAAAACAGAACCUGAAAGUCUACGACAAGCAAGCUGUACAGUCGCACAGAUUGAUCAACUCAGGCAGCAGGUUGUCACAUUAUAGAUAUAUAUUUCUAUGGUUUGUUAUAGUUGUAAUUAGUGUGAGAUUUGGACAAACAAAUAAAUCUUGGAUUCAAGUUUGUUUUGUUUAGUUGAUAAUUAUAAAUCAAAGGUUUGCUUAAAUAAUAAGAACUUUAAGUUUAUAUCAUUUGCUUGUAUUAUUUAAAUUUUGUUGGAAAUUUGUUUAAAUAUAUAUCUCCCUGUAUUUUAAUAAAAUGUCAACUUUAAAGGGGGACAAGAACAUGUGCAACUAAGUAGAUAUACACAUUACAUAAAUCUUCAUAUAGAUCCAUGGUUUCAUAAGAUAAAAGAGUGGAAGAAAUAAUGGGAAAACAUGGUCGGGUUACUAGGCUCCAUUUGCAUAACAUUAAUGGCGAAAUUGAAAGAGGUUUGUGUGUGUAUUGCUUGCAAUGUUGGCCAUGUUAAUAGCUGCCAUGAAUAUGAUAUGCAAGUUGCAACUCUAUCUACCAACUGCUCUGCCACCAAAUAAUGUAGGAUUCGUGUCUGUUAAUCAUUGCUCUGUUGUUUCAAAUAAUGUUUGGUGAUUAAUUCCGGCAACAAAAUAAACUUGAUUGUAUAGAAAUCUCUCUUUACUUUUUAAUGGAUAUUUCAGUAAUGUGUAUAUGCGAAAUUGAUAAAAAAAAAUUAUCUUGGCAAUUCCGAUAACAUAUUUAAUUAAUUAUACGAGAUUGAUAGAUUUUUGACAAUAUAACUUAUACGUAAACUUACGUGAUUGGUAGAUAUUUGUCUUGUAAGUUGUACAUAGACUAGUUCAGUUUAUCGACAAUUUGAAAAUUUUAGUUUGUUAACAAUUUCUAAACAUAUUUAUUAUUUUAGUUUCUUAACAACUACACACCAUAUCAUUACACUAUAUCGGUUUGUGUUUCCAUUCCAGACACAUAAUCAUCACUGCAAUACAAUACAAUACAAUACAAUACAUCAUUCUGUGUUUUCAUUUCAAACACAGUGUUUGAUCCUCUCAAAUUUUAAGUUUAUAAUGACCAGUAUUUGAUAUUCUUAGGAUUUCAAACGAAAUCCUUAAAAUCCAAAUCUAAAUUCUUUUAUGCACUUACCAAAUCACAAUUUCUGAUAAAAAGUUUUCAAAAAUUCAGAAUUUCUGAUUAAAUCCAAGUUUUCAAAGCAAAUUGCACUGUCCAAUGAAAUGCGGACAGUUCUCGGAAAGUUUGGGCUAAACAGUACAUGCGCAUAAUGAAAGGAGUUGAAGCAAUGGACCUCGGUAAAUACUAGAAAAUUUAGAGAACUAUUAAAAUAUUCAUGCAUUCGAUUAAAUUUUAAUCAUUUCGAUUAAAUUUUCAGCACCUCGAGCCAUGGAGAAACGCAAAAACAGAACCUGAAAGUCUACGACAAGCAAGCUGUACAGUCGCACAGAUUGAUCAACUCAGGCAGCAGGUUGUCACAUUAUAGAUAUAUAUUUCUAUGGUUUGUUAUAGUUGUAAUUAGUGUGAGAUUUGGAC
RNAcentral lists this long non-coding RNA (1635 nucleotides) under Daucus carota (carrot). RNAcentral's name for it is "long non-coding RNA (DCAR_LNC003792)". The record is from RNAcentral. Lineage: Eukaryota; Viridiplantae; Streptophyta; Magnoliopsida; Apiales; Apiaceae.